This 429-nucleotide ribosomal RNA is filed under the name Acidobacteriota bacterium. RNAcentral describes it as "Acidobacteria bacterium partial 16S ribosomal RNA". It matches the Rfam family "Bacterial small subunit ribosomal RNA", at positions 355 to 776 of the family's 1533-position model. Lineage: Bacteria; Pseudomonadati; Acidobacteriota. The record is from RNAcentral.
UGGGGAAUUUUGGACAAUGGGGGAAACCCUGAUCCAGCCAUCCCGCGUGUGCGAUGAAGGCCUUCGGGUUGUAAAGCACUUUUGGCAGGAAAGAAACGUCAUGGGUUAAUACCCCGUGAAACUGACGGUACCUGCAGAAUAAGCACCGGCUAACUACGUGCCAGCAGCCGCGGUAAUACGUAGGGUGCAAGCGUUAAUCGGAAUUACUGGGCGUAAAGCGUGCGCAGGCGGUUCGGAAAGAAAGAUGUGAAAUCCCAGAGCUCAACUUUGGAACUGCAUUUUUAACUGCCGGGCUGGAGUGUGUCAGAGGGAGGUGGAAUUCCGCGUGUAGCAGUGAAAUGCGUAGAUAUGCGGAGGAACACCGAUGGCGAAGGCAGCCUCCUGGGAUAACACUGACGUUCAUGCACGAAAGCGUGGGAAGCAAACAGG